GACGAACGCUGGCGGCGUGCUUAACACAUGCAAGUCGAACGGUGAAGCGCCUUCCUUUUUGGUGGGUGUGGAUGAGUGGCGAACUGGUUAGUAACACGUUAGUAACCUGCCCCCUUCUUCUGGAUAACCGCAUGAAAGUGUGGCUAAUACGGGAUAUUCUGAGUCUGUCGCAUGAUGGGUCUAGGACAGAUUUGGUUUCGGUGGGGGAUGGGCUCGCGGCCUAUCAGCUUGUUGGUGGGGUGACGGCCUACCAAGGCGGUGACGGGUAGCCGGCCUGAGAGGGUGGGCGGUCCCGCUGGGGCUGAGCCACGGACACGCCUACUGCGGGAGGCAGCAGUGGGGAUUAUUGCACAAUGGGAGGCAGCCUGAUGCAGCGCCGCCGCGUGCGGGAUGGAGUCCUUCGGGUUGUGAACCUCUUUCGCGAGUGAAGCAGGCCUGCCUCGUUUGUGGGUGGGUUGACGGUACCUGGACAAGAAGCGCCGGCUAACUACGUG
This 494-nucleotide ribosomal RNA is filed under the name uncultured bacterium. Its description in RNAcentral is "partial 16S ribosomal RNA". It matches the Rfam family "Bacterial small subunit ribosomal RNA", at positions 28 to 507 of the family's 1533-position model. The record is from RNAcentral.